Molecule: long non-coding RNA, 6336 nt
Filed under: Sus scrofa (pig)
Lineage: Eukaryota; Metazoa; Chordata; Mammalia; Artiodactyla; Suidae
Description: lncRNA (ENSSSCG00000056370.1)
Source: RNAcentral
GAGAGCCACUAGCUGGGAGGGGGUAAUGGGAGCCGGCGCAGGGGUAAUCAGUUACAUUUUGGCUGCUUUCACCAGCACCCCUUGCUCUUGAAUGAGAGUGGGAGGGUAUGUGUCACUCUGGGAAUAGCUACAGACCUGUGUUAGGAAACACAUAAGAUGCUGCAGUAUACACCUUGGCUUAUUUUAUUUCUGUUGUUUAUAUUUAUUUUUGAGUAUUGAAUUUGCUUCCAUUUUUCUUUUGGAGUAGCUUCUCAGUGCUAACUCCAUGCUUUUAUGAAGAAAAGUAGCAUUUUCCCCUCUCUUGCCAUCUCUCUCUCUCUCUCCAGCACGUAAAGCCUCUUUCCCCGUGAUCACAGGAAACCAGAGAGCUGGUUACUGGUGAUGCUGCAGAGUCUUUCUCUGACUGGUGAUGAAUGGUCAAAAGAUGCUGAAUGUGAAGCAGUCAUUCAUGAAAGCUCUUAGGACACUUUCUCUGGAGCCAGGUGCUAAGAACUUCUCAACAGGGACAACUUAGUGGGGGGAAUGGAAAAUGAACACACACCACAAUGUAAAACUUUGGCUACAAAUAUGAGCUGAUUUGCAGAGGAGAGUCGUGUUUUGUGUGGUAUUUUCUCCACGGUAUGGCUUAUUGCCUGAAGUAGGUAAAAGUCUUUUUCCUGCACAGAAACCGAAGAGGUUAAGUGUGAGGAAGAAGAAAGGGUUUUGGCUAGAAAUACCUGAUUGAUUGAAAUAAAAAUUAAGAACCCUUUUGUCCCAUGGUGAGAAAAUAAUCAAAAUAUCCUAUUGCAAGAAAUCUUGAUGUUCAGUAAAAACGAGACAGAACAAAAGAAAAAAAACUGGCAAUGUAUUUUUGGUUUUGUUUUUUGUUGUGUUUUUUUUUUUUUUUUUUAAGAUUGGACUCAGAAUAAGAUCUGAAUGUCUGUAUUGUCAUUUUCAUUUAAAAGAAAAAGUAAAUGAGCAAAAGAAAUGAUUCUAAGUGCAAAGGAGAUGCAAACAGUCAUGAGAACUUAAAGCUUUUAAUAAUGUUGUAUGUUGACUUUGUAAACUCAGCCACAAAUCAUUUCUUGCUGACAGCUCUUUUAGAGGCUGAAGAAAUGAAUUUGUCUUGAGCACAAUUGCUAUGACUUUUUUGUAGAGUCCACAUUUUUUCUCUUCGUUAUGGCUUUCUGAGUGCUUUAUGACACACAGCCUCCCUACCUCUGCAGGUCAUGUUGUCUCAAGACAAAUAGAGAAUUUGUAGAAAAUUAAAGCACUCACAAUUGGUGUUGGGGGAAAGGAAGUCACAAGGGCUCUCUCCUUAGCCUGUGAUGGAAGAUACAAGUAAGCAGGUUUUUCUCGGCCUUCUCUAAGGAUAGGCUUGGCCCCAUGGAAUACACUUGAGAAUAAAUCAGUAACCCCCCCCCGUGAUCAGGGCUGCAUUAACUCAGUCCCCAGGUAUGGUCCCACAGCAGGCAACGUCUCAUCUUCCCCUCUGACAGCAUAGAAUUUAAUCUCUUUUUAUCUCUUUAAAUUUCUGAGUCCUGUGCUUCUUAAAUAUUUUUUCAUUCAGUGUUUUUUUAAUUUUGAUUUUUGUUCAAAGGCAAAUCUAGUUUCUGAUGUCUUUCUUCUUCCAUACUAAAAACACAUGCAUGAUAUCUUUCCAAAGAAUGAGGAGGAAAUGGCUCAUUCUUUUUUUUUUUUUUUUAAGGGCUAUACCUGUGGCAUGUGGAAGUUCCUGGGCAGGGGUCGAAUCCGAGCUGCAGCUGCUAGCCUACACCACAACCACAGCAGCAGCAACACCAGAUCCGAGCAGCAUCUGUGACCUACAUCGACCACAGCUCAUGGCAACACUGGAUCCUUAACCCACUGAGUCAGGGAUCAAACCCGAAUCCUCAUGGAUACGAGUUGGGUUUCUAACCCACUGAGCCACAGCGGGAACUUCCGAAAAUGGCUCGUUCUUGAUUUUUGUAUAUGAAAGGAUGUCAAGGGAGGACUUUGAGGCUUUUUUAAACUUUGUUUCAAGCUGUUGUUGUGUCCCCUUUAGCCAGUCCAGGCACGUUCAUUGUAUCUAAACCUUCCUUCCUUUCCUUUCUUUUUUCUUUUCUUUUUAAAAAUUUUUUCGGCCACCCGGAGGCAUAGGUAGUUCCCUGGGCCAGGGAUCAGAUGUGAGCCACAUUUGCCACCUAAACUGCAGCUGUGGCAACGCCAGAUCCUUUAACCCACUGUGCCAGGCUGGGGUUCGAACCUGUGUCCUGGCACUGCAGAGACUCCGCUGAUCCUGUUGUGUCCCAUGGAGAACUCCUCCUUUCCUUUGAAAUAUGUGUUCAGGAUCUGGUUUUAUGAGCAUCAACCAAUGUGCAGCAUUUGGCUCAGCCCUGACGAAAGUUCAAAGGUCAUGAAGGCAUCGUCCCAACCUGUCAGGAGGUUAUAAGCUCGUGCAGAAACCAGACUGACUAAAUCUGACAGUGAGAUAGGAUAUGUUGUGUGAUGAUGAAGGUGCAGAGUGAAAUGUUUAAUUUAGGGAAGGCUUCAUAAGAAAAGUGGCAUUUGAAAGAAACUGAUGAGGGAAGCCAGAAGUGCAAAGGGAAUGAUGUCAAGACCAAAGGCUUAAGUGCAGUGAACAGAGUAUUCCAGUACCUAGAACUCAAGGUAUGUGCAUAAACUCUAAGACCUUGUCCUUAAAAAAAAAAAAAAAAAAAAAAAAAACACCCAGUCUAGCAAGGGAGAAAUGUAAAUGAACGAAUGAACGAGAGUACAUUUUGCCUUCCCCGUUGUGCACAAGGCCUUUGCAACAUCGAAGAAGAAACCCUGAGUGUGGUGGAGGUGGGGGGUUGGCUGGAAAGCUUCAUUCACUGAGGUCUGAAUCUUGAAGGAGCGAUACUUUGCCCGUGGAAAUAAAAGGAGAGCAUAUACACGCUCCCCUCAUCCUUUGUCCUUAUAACAGACACACUUUUCUGGGGCUUUCUAAGGAAAUUUUAUUUCAGGAUUCUGCCAGCAGUAGUUCUCCCGGAACCAGAAGUGUAAGGAUACCAAGUUCUGCCUUGUCUUUUCUCACUGAUUUCUCUCAGUUUUUUUCUCUCGCUGUUCUUGUGAGUAUUUAUCACUCACUUUCUUUGCGCCAUUUGCUUCUCCACCUGGACCUUGUAGGAAACACCCGUGCUGUUGUCUAUCCCAGAGGAAACUCUUAGGUCAUCUUCCCAACAUGCCUCCAGUUUCAUUAAACAAAAACCUAGUUGUUAUAAAAGCAGGGUUGGACCCUGGCUUUCUGCAGUAUAGCUGGGCCAGAGAUGGUCUCACGAUUGCACAAGGAAUGGUGUUUCAAGUUGAGGCUCUGAAGUUGGAUGGCUCAGUUCUGCCACUUGCUUGAUGUUUAAUCUCAAAGUGGUAACUGAAUCCAUCUGUGCCUCGACUCCCUUCUCUAUGAGAUGGAAAUAAUAUAGUACUUAUCUCACAAGACCAUUGUAGGGGUUACAAGAGAUAGUUCAUGGAUUUAUCACUGUGGUUAUGAUGUAGUCACAUUUUAUAAAUAUUAUUUAAAAUUUCGAAGGAGUUCCCAUUGAGGCUGAGGGGGUUAGGAACGCGACAUAGUGUCGGUGAUGAUGUGGGUUCGAUCCCUGGCCUCACUCAGUGGGUUAAGGAUCCGGCAUUGCCGCAAGCUGUGGCAUAGGUCACAGAUGCGGCUCAGAUCCUGUGUUGCUGUGGCUGUGGCAUAGGCCUAAGUUACAGCUCUGAUUCGACCUGGAACUUCUACAUGCUGCAGGUGUGGCUGUAAAAAGAAAAAAACAAUUUUGGCCAGAUAUGUAGCUCCUUCUUGCUUUGUUUGCUGCAUGAUGACAAACUGUGAUGGUCUGUGGCAUGUGUCACUUUGUCUGGGCCAUGGGAUGCCCGGAUAACUGGUUAAACAUUACUUCCCGCUGUGUCCGUGAGGAUGAUUCUAUGAGGUUAGCAUUUGAGUAGGUGGACUGAGCAAAGCAAAUGGCCCUCUCCUACGUGGGUGGGCAUCAUCCAAACUGCUGAGGGCUUGGAAUUGAGCAGAAAGGCUAAGGAAGUUCGGUUCCUUGUUCUGCUAACUGUUUGAGCUGAGACAGUUUUCUGCUCUUGAAGAUCCUCAAGCCUUUGAACUACACCAUAGGCAAUCUUUUCUUUUCUUUUUUAAAUUUUUUUCUUCUUUGUAAAAUUUUUUUUGUUUCCUUUUUUAAUUUUUUUAGAUUAAAAAUUUAUUAUGGUUGAUUACAGUGUUCUCUCAAUUUCUGCAGGACAGCAAAGUGACCCAGUUAUAUGUAUAUAUAUUUUCUUUUUCUCAUAUUAUCUUCCAUCACAUUCCAUCACAAGUGAUUGGAUAUGGUUCCCUGUGCUAUACAGCAAGACCUCAUUGUUUAUCUACUCCAAAUGCAAUACUUUGCAUCUACUAAUGCCAACUCCUUGUCAUCCCACUCCUUCCCCCCGCCCCUUUGACCACAUGUCUGUUCUCCAUGUCCAUGAGUUUAUUUCUGUUCUGUAGAUAGAUUCAUUUAUGCCAUAUUUUUUUUUAUCUUUUAAUUAAAAAAAUUUUUUUUAAAUUUUUGUCUUUUUGCCAUUUCUUGGGCCACUCCCACGGCAUAUGGAGGUUCCCAGGCUAGGGGUCAAAUCAGAGUUGUAGCUGCCGGUCUAUGCCAGAGCCACAGCAACUCCAGACCCAAGCCGCGUCUGCAACCUACACCACAGCUCACGUGUGCCGUAUUUUUAGAUUCCACAUUUAAGUGACAUCAUAUGGUAUUUGUCUUUCUCUUUCUGUCUUAUUUCACUUAGUAUGAGAAUCUCUAGUUCCAUCCAUGUUGCUGCAAAUGCCAUUAUUUUUGUUCUUUUUUAUGGCUGAGUAGUAUUCCAUUGUGUGUGUGUACCACCUCUUCUUAAUCCAUUCAUCUGCCAAUGGACAUAUAGGUUGUUUCCAUGUCUCAGCUACUGUGAAUAGUGCUGCAGUAAACAUAGGGGUGCAUAUAUCUUUCUGAAUGAAUGUUUUGUCCAGACAUAUACUCAGGAGUGGAAUUGCUGGAUCAUAUGGUCGUUCUAUAUAUAGUUUUCUGAGGUAUCUUCAUACUGUUUUCCAUAGUGGUUGUACCAUUUUACAUUCCCACCAACAGUGUAGGAGGGUUCCCUUUUCUCCACACCCUCUCUAGCACUUGUUAUUUGCAGACUUAUUAAUGAUAGACAUUCUGACCAGUGUGAGGUGGUACCUCGUAGUAGUUUUGAUGAGCAUCACAGAUUCACUUUUUUGAAUCUCCAGCUUUCAGACAGCAGUUAUUGGGCUUCUCAGCCUCCAUAAUUGCAUGAGCCAAUUCUUCAUAAGAAAUCUCUUCCCCGAUAUUUAUAUAUUCCUAUUGUUCUUUUCUCUGGAGAACCUUAAUACAUGAUCUUUCUAACCAAAGUGUGGUUUGCAGUGAGUGGCAUUAGCAUCAUCUGGGAGCUCAUUAGGAAUACCUAUUCUCAGGCCCCGCCUUGCAAUUUAACAAGAUCCUUGAGUGAUUCCUUCCAUGUUGGAGACUCGGUUCCCUUAUUCCCCACGAAAAUUUCAUGGUUGUUUCAUUGCUCCAUCAACUAUGGGACAGCCACAGCAUCAUACCACAGACUGAGGAUUAGCCAGUUAAGGACAGUUUCAGCAAAGAUAGUAAACAAAAAUCCAGUUCUGUUUCAAAUAGUGCAGUUCUUAGGAAAUAAAAGAGUUUUUAAGGCUGCUCUAAUAAUCCCUGAAAGAGAGGGACGGAGGGCUAGAUCUCUAUACCACAGGGUUGUUAGGGGAGCUGGAGGGGAAGAGAGACCUAGUGACCAGGAACAGGAUUCCUUACUCUUCUCUUAAAAAGAGGCAACCAAGAAGAGAGUGGAGGGAAACAGAGGAGUACCUGCAAGUCAAGCAUCUACUGGAGAAAGUUGGUCAGAUAGAGAUAAAUAAGAAAGAACAAAAAGCCUUUGAGCCAAGAGCUCUCACACUAACCUGGUUUCCUGUGGCAUUAACUUUUCACCGUGGAGUGAGAGAAUAACAAGAAUUUAAGAGGUAUUUUUCUUAGUUGGAUUGGGUGGAGUGAGGAUCAAGACAUUUGUUGGAAAAGUGCCUACAGAACCACAGCUGGGCUUUGGCUACUCAACACCUAUGUCUACCUUCUCUUCCCUCUCAGUUUUCUGGAUGACUGAAAAAAAUAGACAUUACAUUCUCUCAAAUGUUCAGAUUUCCAGCCAGAGUCAUAAGAGACAAUUCAAGGGGACCAGGUAAACACUGAACGGAUAUGAUGGUAAUCCACCAAAGCUAUUGGGCUGUAUCAGCAGCAGACAAAAAAGUACCCAGUAAAAGUUGAAUACAAAGCAGGAAAAAUGGGAUUUCCUUAC